UACAGAUACUGCAAGCGUUAUUCGGAUUCACUGGGCGUAAAGGGUGCGCAGGCGGCCAAGUGUGUGAGGCGUGAAAGCCCGGGGCUUAACCCCGGAAUUGCACCUCAAACUACUCGGCUAGAGCAUUGGAGAGGGUAGCAGAAUUCAUGGUGUAGCAGUGAAAUGCGUAGAUAUCAUGAGGAAUACCAGAGGCGAAGGCGGCUACCUGGACAAUUGCUGACGCUCAGGCACGAAAGCGUGGGGAGCAAAAGGG
RNAcentral lists this ribosomal RNA (253 nucleotides) under uncultured bacterium. RNAcentral describes it as "partial 16S ribosomal RNA". It matches the Rfam family "Bacterial small subunit ribosomal RNA", at positions 524 to 776 of the family's 1533-position model. The record is from RNAcentral.